This 435-nucleotide ribosomal RNA is filed under the name Halomonas saccharevitans. RNAcentral describes it as "bacterial SSU rRNA". It matches the Rfam family "Bacterial small subunit ribosomal RNA", at positions 30 to 461 of the family's 1533-position model. RNAcentral also lists the same sequence under 1 other name. The record is from RNAcentral. Lineage: Bacteria; Pseudomonadati; Pseudomonadota; Gammaproteobacteria; Oceanospirillales; Halomonadaceae.
AUUGAACGCUGGCGGCAGGCCUAACACAUGCAAGUCGAGCGGAAACGAUCCUAGCUUGCUAGGAGGCGUCGAGCGGCGGACGGGUGAGUAAUGCAUAGGAAUCUGCCCGGUAGUGGGGGAUAACCUGGGGAAACUCAGGCUAAUACCGCAUACGCCCUACGGGGGAAAGCAGGGGAUCUUCGGACCUUGCGCUAUCGGAUGAGCCUAUGUCGGAUUAGCUUGUUGGUGAGGUAAUGGCUCACCAAGGCGACGAUCCGUAGCUGGUCUGAGAGGAUGAUCAGCCACAUCGGGACUGAGACACGGCCCGAACUCCUACGGGAGGCAGCAGUGGGGAAUAUUGGACAAUGGGCGAAAGCCUGAUCCAGCCAUGCCGCGUGUGUGAAGAAGGCUUUCGGGUUGUAAAGCACUUUCAGUGAGGAAGAAAGCCUUGGGGCU